AUUGAACGCUGGCGGCAUGCCUUACACAUGCAAGUCGAACGGCAGCGCGGGGCAACCUGGCGGCGAGUGGCGAACGGGUGAGUAACAUAUCGGAACAUACCCUAGAGUGGGGGAUAACGUAGCGAAAGUUACGCUAAUACCGCAUACGCACUAAGGUGGAAAGUGGGGGAUUCGCAAGAACCUCAUGCUCAUGGAGUGGCCGAUAUCUGAUUAGCUAGUUGGUGAGGUAAAGGCUCACCAAGGCGACGAUCAGUAGCUGGUUUGAGAGUACGACCAGCCACACUGGAACUGAGACACGGUCCAGACUCCUACGGGAGGCAGCAGUGGGGAAUUUUGGACAAUGGGGGCAACCCUGAUCCAGCAAUGCCGCGUGAGUGAAGAAGGCCUUCGG
This 391-nucleotide ribosomal RNA is filed under the name uncultured bacterium. RNAcentral describes it as "bacterial SSU rRNA". It matches the Rfam family "Bacterial small subunit ribosomal RNA", at positions 30 to 421 of the family's 1533-position model. The record is from RNAcentral.